RNAcentral lists this long non-coding RNA (250 nucleotides) under Setaria italica (foxtail millet). RNAcentral describes it as "long non-coding RNA (SITA_LNC004661)". Lineage: Eukaryota; Viridiplantae; Streptophyta; Magnoliopsida; Poales; Poaceae. The record is from RNAcentral.
UUUCUUCCAAAGUAGAUUGAAUUUCCUCCCCUGAUUCUAGGUACAUAGCUAUUUAAACAGUUUCAGAAGGGUCUUGUUUUUGAAUUGGCUAUGAAAGUUUUCCCCAUAUGCCUCAUGCAUCACCUACUCUUCAAGUCCGGCCACUACGCUAUUCUGUGACGUUCCACAUUGCCAUUUAGUAGGUCUUUGAUUGCUUGUAAAAUGCCUUUUUGCCGAUCAUGAAUGAUACAAAUAUCCUCUACGUCCUUCA